UUUUGCGGCAGCCCGGACGUCCGAUGAGAAGCAUUCUCGGAACUAUUCUUUCGCCUUUUACUAAAGAAUACCGUGUGCGCGCCAGAAAUAGCAGCAUACUCUUGUUUUUGGAGGGUGUUUUCUCUUUUUGAGAAAAC
Molecule: small nuclear RNA, 137 nt
Filed under: Oryza longistaminata (longstamen rice)
Lineage: Eukaryota; Viridiplantae; Streptophyta; Magnoliopsida; Poales; Poaceae
Description: snRNA U5
Rfam family: U5 spliceosomal RNA (bases 19-136)
About the family: U5 RNA is a component of both types of known spliceosome. The precise function of this molecule is unknown, though it is known that the 5' loop is required for splice site selection and p220 binding, and that both the 3' stem-loop and the Sm site are important for Sm protein binding and cap methylation.
Source: RNAcentral